GAUGAACGCUAGCGGCGUGCCUAACACAUGCAAGUCGAACGUGAGAGGGUACUUGUAUCCUUGAAAGUGGCGGACGGGUGAGUAAGACGUAGGUGACCUGCCUUGAAGUGGGGGAUAACCAUUGGAAACGAUGGCUAAUACCGCAUAAGCUGGUGAUGAUGGGAAUCGUUAUCAGGAAAGCUUUAGUGCUUUGAGAGGGGCCUACGGCCGAUUAGCUAGUUGGUGAGGUAAAGGCUCACCAAGGCGAUGAUCGGUAGCUGGUCUGAGAGGACGAUCAGCCACACGGGAACUGAGACACGGUCCCGACUCCUACGGGGGGCAGCAGUGAGGAAUAUUCGGCAAUGGGGGCAACCCUGACCGAGCAACGCCGCGUGGAGGAUGACGGUUUUCGGAUUGUAAACUCCUUUUCUUCAGGGAAGAGCGAGGACGGUACCUGAGGAAUAAGUUCACGGCUAACUACGUG
RNAcentral lists this ribosomal RNA (463 nucleotides) under uncultured bacterium. Its description in RNAcentral is "bacterial SSU rRNA". It matches the Rfam family "Bacterial small subunit ribosomal RNA", at positions 28 to 507 of the family's 1533-position model. The record is from RNAcentral.